ACAGUCACACAUUAGAUACCCGCGUAGUCCAGGGUGUAAACGCUGCGGGCUUGGUGUUGGGGGUCCUUUGAGGGCGCCCAGUGCCGGAGAGAAGUUGUUAAGCCUGCUGCUUGGGGAGUACGUCCGCAAGGAUGAAACUUAAAGGAAUUGGCGGGGGAGCACCGCAACGGGAGGAGCGUGCGGUUCAAUUGGAUUCAACGCCGGACAACUCACCAGGAGCGACGGUUACAUGAAGGCCAGGCUGAUGACCUUGCCUGAUUUUCCG
RNAcentral lists this ribosomal RNA (265 nucleotides) under uncultured archaeon. RNAcentral's name for it is "partial 16S ribosomal RNA". It matches the Rfam family "Archaeal small subunit ribosomal RNA", at positions 719 to 982 of the family's 1478-position model. The record is from RNAcentral.